RNAcentral lists this ribosomal RNA (375 nucleotides) under uncultured bacterium. RNAcentral describes it as "bacterial SSU rRNA". It matches the Rfam family "Bacterial small subunit ribosomal RNA", at positions 509 to 878 of the family's 1533-position model. The record is from RNAcentral.
CAGCAAGCCGCGGUAAUACGGAGGGAGCAAGCGUUAUUCGGAAUUACUGGGCGUAAAGCGCACGUAGGCGGCUUUGUAAGUAAGAGGUGAAAGCCCAGAGCUCAACUCUGGAAUUGCCUUUUUCACUGCAUAGCUUGAAUCUUGGAGAGGUCUGUGGAAUUCCGAGUGUAGAGGUGAAAUUCGUAGAUAUUUGGAAGAACACCAGUGGCGAAGGCGGCUUCCUGGACAUGUAUUGACGCUCAGGUGCGAAAGCGUGGGGAGCAAACAGGAUUAGAUACCCUGGUAGUCCACGCCGUAAACGAUGAUUACUAGCUGUCCGGACUCUUGGUGUUUUGGGUGGGCGCAGCUAAACGCAUUAAGUUUACCCGCCUGGGG